UAAGUUGCCCUGGCUAUAUUCGUGUCAUCAGUUUCAUGAAACAAGCAAAGCCCGCAGCUUCCGCAGCAUUGCCUUGAACCUGCACUAGCUCUGUAGCAGAAUGUCUGAGGCUUAGUUUAGAUAACUUUUCGUGGAUUUUGCAAAUUAAUUGGAGAUGCGUGCCUUAGUGAGCAGAAGGUGAUGUCUAGUGGUAAUACCCAGUGUUUUGGAAAUGGAGCGUGUUAUGUGAACUGCGUCUUGCGUUAAUUGCUACCAAAGAGUUGCCGAAUAAGGUGCACACGUUUGCGACUGAACUCGUGCAUCAACGUCAAAUCAUAACAGGGAAAAGAUGGCUCCAAAGACUUCGAAGGGAUCUCGAAAAAAGAAUUCUGUGGUGCAAUCCAAAGGCAAGGCUUUGCGACCAAAACAGAACAAGAAACCUGGCAGGGCAAAGCAGGCUUCUUCUCCAACAGGACCAGUGGCAGCUGGCAGAGCAGGGAAAGGCUCGGCUAGUAAAAAGAAAGCGAAAAAACGAAAGAAAGGAAAGAGGAAGAAAAGGAAAAAGAAGCGUCGAGCAAAACCAGACGUCUUCAGUGCAGUGGCCAUGGAGAACGCGUACUACAUUAGUCACAAUGCCGGUGACUUCCUAAGCUUUCGAGGCUUCAAGUGGACAGGCGGGAAGAAGAAGAGAGGCAAGAGCAAAAAGAAGAAGCGCGCAUGGUGAACGGGCUAACUGGCUUCAAAAAGCGACGGAAUAUGACGCGCCUGCAGGCCUACCGCGAAGGAGGCCAGGCCGGCAGGCGUGCUGGCCUCUGGCUCGCUCAUCCUCUGCGGCAACGAUGGCCGCAGCGCCACCACCGACGGAGUACGUCUGCAUGAGGAGCGAACGAAUCUGUGGUGACUGCGGAACCUCGCAGCCAACGAAACGAUCUCGAACGUACCGCACAGAUCUCGUGCGCACAGAUCUCGAAUGUGCCGCACGAAUUUCGAACGUGUCGCAUAGAGGGCAUCCGGGUCCGUAAGGAGGGCGGUGACAGCGGAGCGGGGCUGCGCAAUGUCAGCGAUGAUUGAUGGAUGGGGAAAAGCAGAGAUAUAAACGUGCAUCGUUAUCUGGGAAGAGAAGACAUUGGGGCGAUGCAAAACAGAACGCGGGGGAACUAAAGCUUGACACGAUCCAGUGGGCAUAGCAUAAUGAUCAGAUUGAGAGAUUGGCGCUGAGUUACUGUCCACGGUACCAUCACAAGCCUGGAAUGAGUUUGUUGCCGCACCGGUCACCGUUUUUCGGUGCGGAUGUAUGUCGACAACAGCGAAUGCGCGCACCAAGACUGUUAUGCAGGGAUAUUGAUCUCCUUCGCGACCGGUCAUGUUAUGGUUUUACCGGUCAGCAUGACUUCUAUACAGCGCUGUCUUCUUUCAGCAUUUCCUGAUGGUACGAAGCUAUUAAAGACCGAUAACGCUGAAGAUCUAGCACCAUCAGCACCACGAGGGCGCGCCAAGCGAUCGCUAACGUGGCCAGUUCGAAUCAGCCCAGCGGAAUUUUGCAAUGCGAUCGUAAUGGCUUCUUGUGGGGUGGAACUUUCCAGAUUCAUUGCCUUUAUGCUGCAUAGAGAACAUCUGUGGCUCCGCCUGUUCAGACCUGAACCGCCGUGUCCUGUGUGUGUCUUGCUUGCUGGCUUCGGACCUCUCGCUCUAGGGGCUGCUAAUGGCUCCACAAUUGCACGCGAAUUGCGCGAAUAAUGCAGCACAUUACCACCCGCGGCGAGUUAUUUCAGCUCUUUUAAUGUAAGAGUCGAGAUGUCGAGCGAUGUGGCUCAAUGACUGCUGUGUGGGCGUCAUGGUGAUGCAUGACGCCAUCCGUCUGGAACAACCAGGCCUACAGCCAGACCUACGACGGGGACAGGCAUCAAGAGACGUGUUGAAAGCCUAGUACUGUGUAUUCGUGAUUAUUAUAGGAAAUACAUCAUGCAUAGCUCACAGUCGUAUUUGAAUUGAUGAAUCACUCCGUCAGUUAGUUUCGGGUCAUCAUCAGCUCUUCAGACACUCGUAUUCCUUUCACCCCUUCCAGCAUGGUACACUAUGCACCUUGCGGCACACGGCAUGUGAUGCCGAACACCGCAAACUACAAAUGAUUCAGACUUCCUUGAAUCGUCCAAAGGGAUUGGCUCAAUCCUCGGAGGCGCCGGCGGAACUGCCCACUUACCCAGCAACGCAGCGUGUCAGACGAAAUGAAAUCGAUGCAAAUGUAAUUACCACCACUGGUUCAACUCUUCAAAUUG
Molecule: long non-coding RNA, 2255 nt
Filed under: Pollicipes pollicipes
Lineage: Eukaryota; Metazoa; Arthropoda; Thecostraca; Pollicipedomorpha; Pollicipedidae
Description: uncharacterized LOC119110308
Source: RNAcentral